This 249-nucleotide long non-coding RNA is filed under the name Elaeis guineensis (African oil palm). RNAcentral's name for it is "long non-coding RNA (EGUI_LNC006721)". Lineage: Eukaryota; Viridiplantae; Streptophyta; Magnoliopsida; Arecales; Arecaceae. The record is from RNAcentral.
UUUGAAGCCGCGGCCCCUCGACCUGUGCUCGCCGCGAUUUCUCGCCGGAAACCUCACCGAAGUCGAAGGUAAGCCCCGGCCCUCCUUCCUCUCUUCCUUCCCCUCCUUCCCAUGGCUUCGUGCACCCUCGUCGGCCGUCGGGAUCGUUGGAAAAAUUGAUGAAAAAGCGAGACCCUGUUCUGCCCUGUUCGGUCGAGCCAUUUCCUCCUCUUUUCGGGCCACCGGCACCACCGCCCGUGGUGCCACACC